RNAcentral lists this ribosomal RNA (253 nucleotides) under uncultured bacterium. Its description in RNAcentral is "partial 16S ribosomal RNA". It matches the Rfam family "Bacterial small subunit ribosomal RNA", at positions 524 to 776 of the family's 1533-position model. The record is from RNAcentral.
UACGUAGGGUGCGAGCGUUAAUCGGAAUUACUGGGCGUAAAGCGUGCGCAGGCGGUUUUGUAAGCCAGAUGUGAAAUCCCCGGGCUUAACCUGGGAAUGGCAUUUGGGACUGCAAGGCUGGAGUGCGGCAGAGGAGACUGGAAUUCCUGGUGUAGCAGUGAAAUGCGUAGAUAUCUGGAGGAACACCGGUGGCGAAGGCGGCUCACUGGCCCGGUACUGACGCUGAGGCGCGAAAGCGUGGGGAGCAAACAGG